Molecule: non-coding RNA, 79 nt
Filed under: Paenibacillus sp.
Lineage: Bacteria; Bacillati; Bacillota; Bacilli; Caryophanales; Paenibacillaceae
Also listed under: 1 other name
Description: ZTP sequence
Rfam family: ZMP/ZTP riboswitch aptamer (pfl RNA motif)
About the family: Previously known as pfl RNA.
Source: RNAcentral
UGUGGUAUGCGUGACUGGCGGAACGUGGGUAACCACGAGGAAGCGUAUAUGGAAAACGCCGUACGCCUGGGCAAAGUAU